CUGGCGGCGUGCUUACACAUGCAAGUCGAACGAACCUUCGGGUUAGUGGCGGACGGGUGAGUAACGCGUGAGAAUCUGCCCUCAGGAGGGGGAUAACGGCUGGAAACGGCCGCUAAUACCCCAUAUGCCGAGAGGUGAAAUGAAUUUCGCCUGAGGAUGAGCUCGCGUCUGAUUAGCUAGUUGGUAAGGUAAGAGCUUACCAAGGCAUCGAUCAGUAGCUGGUCUGAGAGGAUGAUCAGCCACACUGGGACCGAGACACGGCCCAGACUCCUACGGGAGGCAGCAGUGGGGAAUUUUCCGCAAUGGGCGAAAGCCUGACGGAGCAACGCCGCGUGAGGGAUGAAGGCCUCUGGGCUGUAAACCUCUUUUCUCAAGGAAGAAGACAUGACGGUACUUGAGGAAUAAGCCACGGCUAAUUCCCUGCCAGCAGCCGCGGUAAUACGGGAGUGGCAAGCGUUAUCCGGAAUUAUUGGGCGUAAAGCGUCCGCAGGCGGCCUUUUAAGUCUGUUGUUAAAGCGUGGAGCUCAACUCCAUUUCGGCAAUGGAAACUGGAAGGCUGGAGUGUGGUAGGGGCAGAGGGAAUUCCCGGUGUAGCGGUGAAAUGCGUAGAUAUCGGGAAGAACACCAGUGGCGAAGGCGCUCUGCUGGGCCAUAACUGACGCUCAUGGACGAAAGCCAGGGGNAGCGAAAGGGAUUAGAUACCCCUGUAGUCCUGGCCGUAAACGAUGAACACUAGGUGUCGGGGGAAUCGACCCCCUCGG
This 761-nucleotide ribosomal RNA is filed under the name uncultured bacterium. RNAcentral's name for it is "bacterial SSU rRNA". It matches the Rfam family "Bacterial small subunit ribosomal RNA", at positions 36 to 843 of the family's 1533-position model. The record is from RNAcentral.